Molecule: ribosomal RNA, 497 nt
Filed under: uncultured bacterium
Lineage: Bacteria
Description: partial 16S ribosomal RNA
Rfam family: Bacterial small subunit ribosomal RNA
Source: RNAcentral
GAUGAACGCUGGCGGCGUGCCUAAUACAUGCAAGUCGAGCGAACAGAUGAGGAGCUUGCUCCUCUGACGUUAGCGGCGGACGGGUGAGUAACACGUGGAUAACCUACCUAUAAGACUGGGAUAACUUCGGGAAACCGGAGCUAAUACCGGAUAAUAUAUUGAACCGCAUGGUUCAAUAGUGAAAGACGGUUUUGCUGUCACUUAUAGAUGGAUCCGCGCCGCAUUAGCUAGUUGGUAAGGUAACGGCUUACCAAGGCAACGAUGCGUAGCCGACCUGAGAGGGUGAUCGGCCACACUGGAACUGAGACACGGUCCAGACUCCUACGGGAGGCAGCAGUAGGGAAUCUUCCGCAAUGGGCGAAAGCCUGACGGAGCAACGCCGCGUGAGUGAUGAAGGUCUUCGGAUCGUAAAACUCUGUUAUUAGGGAAGAACAAAUGUGUAAGUCACUAUGCACGUCUUGACGGUACCUAAUCAGAAGGCCACGGCUAACUACGUG